AUUUUAUUUAGUCUCUCUCCUCUCUUUAUUUUAUUUAGAUUCUGUCAAUGUCUCUCUCUCCUCCCAUUUUAUUUUGUUUACCAUCAUCUCUGUAAGUCUCUCCUAUUAUCUCCCAUUCUCUCCCUAUUAAAAUUAUCUCCCAUUCUUUCAAACAAAAACAAACGCUGCUUCGGCACGCUCUCUAACAAAAGCUGCUUCCGCACGCUGUCUAACAAAAGCUGUUUGGGCAAACUUUGAUAGGCAGGGUUGAACGUGGAGAACUCCGCCAUCUAAUUUCUUCUCCUUCCUCCAGCCCAGCCCAAACAAAGAAAAGCAAUCAGAUGAGAUGAGAUGUAAAAAUAUUACAGCAAAAGGUGAGCAAUCAACAGCACGGCAAGCCAUCACGAUCGAUGGAUAGUCAGAGAGAGCAAAGGAACCAGCAGUAGAUAAAGCAGAAAGUCAAGACAGAAGCCAGUGGAGGCAAAUACAAUAGGACAAUAGCAACAGGAAUCUGGAAACCCACCGGAUCUACGAGCUUCAAAAUCUUCACUUCCCAGAUCGGCCGUUGACACACCACCUCUAUGCCCAAAACCGUCAAAUAUCACCGAUCUAGGCACUUAGAUGGGCGAGAAGUGAGAUCUCCGUACACAAAGAAUCACUGUUUGGGCAAAAACAUAAACAAAAGCUGCUUCGGCACAGAGGUGGUGUUGCAAAGGGAAGAGAGAGGAGCAAAGAAGAAAAGAUAACUUGAGAAAUAAAAGGGGUUUGACGUGUCCUUCUUCCUACAUUUAUGUGCCAUGCGAAAUUGAUGUGGCUCAUUUUUUCUGGUGGGUUGCAAUCCGGCGGGUUCUGUGGUUUUUUAUUUUAUUUUAUUUUUUUUUGGCGUGGGUGACGGCGUGGGUCAGUGUGGUGGUUGUGGUUUUUGGCGGGGGUCAGUGUGGUGGUUGGGGUUUUUGGCGUGGGUCACCGUGGUGGUUGUGGUUUUUGGCGUGGGUGACCGGUGCUUAAAGGAAGAGGUGGGUAUGGCUGAAGUGGGUUGUGGGUCGUGGUUGGGUUGUGGCUGAAGUGGGUUGUUGGACGUCGGAGAUCGCCAGUGUUUGGGUCCAGCGAGGUCAUGGCGAGAUCGGCGUGGGUCACGGUGAUGGGUUUGGUGGAGAUCGGCGUGGGUCAUUCUCUCCCAUUUUUCUUAUGUCCCUAUCCCAUUCUCUCUCAUUUUAAUAGGGACAUAAGAACUACUUUCUCUUAUUUCUCCGGGGAAAAAAAAAAAAAAAAAAAAAAAAAACAAAGAAAAGCUGCUUCGGCACACUGUCUAACAAAAGCUGUUUCUGGGCAAAGUUUGAUAGACAGGGUUGAACGUGGAGAACUCCGCCAUCUAAUUUCUUCAUCCUCCAGCCCAGCCCAAAAAAAGAAAAGCAAUCAGAUGAGAUGUGAAAAUAUUACAGCAAAAGGUGAGCAAUCAACAGCACGGCAAGCCAUCACGAUCGAUGGAUAGUCAGAGAGAGCAAAGGAACCAGCAGUAGAUAAAGCAGAAAGCCAAGACAGAAGCCAGUGGAGGCAAAUACACUAGGACAGUAGCAACAGGAAUCUGGAAAUCCACCGGAUCUACGAGCUUCAAAACCUUCACUUCCGAGAUCGGCCGUUGACACACCACCUCCAUGCCCAAAACCGUCACAUAUCACCGAUCUAGGCACUUAGAUGGGCGAGAAGUGAGAUCUCCGUGCACAAAGAACCACUGCUGGAGAUGGUGGUGAUCGAUGAGCGAGGAGCUCGAGGCCAAUUCUGCUAUGGCGGCUGGGUGGAGAGAUCUCAGAUUAGAGCGUUCGAAACUAUGCGGGUCAGGUUAAACCGAUACAGCCUGUUUGCUGCCCUACCCGGUUCUAUAGGGCCUGAGUUCGGCCAGGUAAGUCUCAACAAUGUUAAACGUUUCUUUAUAGCUUCAUGUUACGUACAGCCCACAAGCCCAGCCUUGAAAAGAAAAUAGACUUGGUCCAAAUCAAAUCAAAAUUAAAACCCAAUAAACGCAAGAAUCUACUUAGCAUUUUUUUUUUUUUUUGAAUGAAAGCGGCCCAAAACCGUAAAUAGCUUUCCUUCCUCAAACUUCAGUCCAUUUAAGAUUUCACCAAUUAAUUUAAUUUUACAUCUAUAAACAUUCUCCUUUAACUCGGUGUCUGGUCAAAAUCUUUCAGUUCAUAUUUUAAUUCACUGAUAAAGACAUUAAUUACAGUAAACUAUUUUACUAAAAUUUAUUAUAAAGUAUUUUCCUAAUCUAAAUCUCUAGCUGCGAUUUUUGCGUUCUUAUUUUUUCUCGGACUCUUGGAUCUUGUGUCUGAAUCAUUGCUGACUUUUAGCUCCAUGAUGAAAUCGGUCUGUGAUUUGCCUUUACUUGAUGUCUCUAACUCAAACUCAAACUCAAACUCACCAACUCGACUCAGAUCUGAAUUCAAUCAAGCUACAGCUCCUAGUUGGAAUGAACUCCCAGCAAAUGUGAUCUGUGAAACUGCAAAUCUACUACCUAAUCAUAUGGAUUUUAAAUCUUUGCUAGCUGUUUGCAAACAAUGGAAUUCUGUCAGUCCAGAAAUUACGAGGCCUCCAUUCCCAUUGCUUAUGCUUUCCAAGACAUUAAACACCAAUUGGCGAAGUUUCUUUAAUCUCUGCGACAGCAAACGCUAUAGAUUAGAACUAUCUACAUUUGGAGGAAAACGUUGUUGGGGAUCUCCAUAUGGUUGGGUUGUAUUACUGGAUCCUAAUUCUAAUGCUCACCUUGAACACCUUGAAAAGGGAAAACAGAUCAUUCUUCCAUCACUAAACACAAUUCCAACACUGGCUGCUACAGAAGAGUGGUUUCGCCUUAUACACAAAUUCAUUAUUUUUAAGCAACCUUCCCACGAGUCAUCUUUCCUUGUCAUGGCAAUUUUCGGCCCUGAGAAUAGCUUGGCUUUUGUGAGAGUGGGAGAAGGAGCAGCUUUGAAUAGAAGAGGACAAGAUGAGUGGGUUCUUGUUGCCAAUCCAUAUGAAUUCAAAUUCAAGGAUGUUACAUGUUUUAAUGAUCAAAUAUAUGGACUCUGUGACAAUGGCACGCUCGUGUGCGUUGAACUAGAUGCUGAGGUACAAGUUGUUUCGCCUCAUCCAGAAGAUGUAUGGGAACCCCAGAAACUAUAUUUGGUGGAGUUAUCUGGAAAUCUUUUUGGGGUUUUUCGUUAUGGAUAUUAUUAUCCUUUGAAGAGGAGGUACGAGACUGUGUCUUUUUUGGUCUACAAGUUCAACUUCGAUGCAUCAUCUUGGGUAGAAGUGACAGACUUGGAAGAUCAUGCUGUCUUUGUUGGUGAUGGCAACUCCUGGUGCUGUCCUACAAUCACCAUAUCUAGCAGUAGUAAUAGCAUCUACUUCACAGACGACAACUGGGAUUGGCAAAUGUACCCAGGAGGUGAAUAUGGAGGAUGUGAUGUCGGAGUGUUUGACAUGGAAACUGCAGUAAUUCAACCCCUUCCAUUCGGUGUGGACAACCCUUCUUCCUAUUCUCGACCAAUUUGGGUUACAACUACUAUGUGAUUGCAUUAGCUUAUUUUCCAUUUUAUUAGCUUGUCUGUUUAUGUACUUUGAUUUCUCUAAUAUUGUUUGGCUUAAUUGAAGAUGUUAUGACUUCUUUGGCGGCCAAAUACAAUUUGACAUUUUGGUUGUAAGCAGGACAAAAUAUUAAACCAAUUUCUAGAAUAUGUAAGUUCUGUUGCUGUCAAUUUAAGUUUUUGUGAAUCUAUUUAUCUUAAUGUUCUGGAUUUGAAUUACAACAUCUGAAAAUGCAGUUUAAAUGAUGUUGGUAAGUAAAUUGUUCAGAGAGAGCUGUAAAGCUGCAUAAAUUAGUCUAGCAUGCUAAUUGCCAAUAAUAUGUUGAAUUGAUUUGCUUUCUUGUAGCAGCCGGAGCAAUCUUACGUGGAUUCAUUUGAAACCUUUUCCCCUUAAUCCCCUAGGGAAAGAAUCCAAUUGCAAAACUUGUUGCGAUAAUGUCCUAGUGAAAACUCUCAAAAACCGAUGGUAUCUACCCAAUCUGGCUUCUGCAGAAAACACGCAAAUCUCCCAUUUACCCCUAGUUAACAAACUCUGUAUAGUGUGGAUAGUCUAUCAUUAACAGGCAACGUACUGCUGAAUGAAUGCCAGGAACCAUUUUGCACCAUUCAUCCUAGGGUUUUCUGGUACAAAUCUCAUUCCAAGUUGAACUACAAGUGUACAGACCUGUCUGUACAUUUACCAACCCCACACUGUGUUCUCUCACCAUUCCCCAGACUCUCUCUAUUUGUAAGACUCAUUACUUGUAUUAACUGUUUCUUAUAUGACCUCUUUCUAACAAAUUAUUUUUUUUUCCCGGUUUUAGGGGAAAAAAAGAAAAAAUAGUGCAACUAAAUCAAAUGAGGCUUAUUAGGCUCAAAAUCUUGGAAAAAUAUUGGAUUUAACUUUUGGGUUUUGUUCUCCGUGCCUUAAUUUUCUCAGCAACGAAAUGGGUGUUAAGUAAUAUCUGAUUUUUGUAGUUUAUGGGGUUAUCUCUUAUCUGUUCUGUUAUUAGAUUUUUUGCGUUGGGUGAUUUUUCUUCUGAUAAAUGUUUAUAGAGCCCAUAUAUUAGAACUGGGAUGUAACGUUCUCUGGAAAUUUUUAAUUGGGAUUUGAAGUAGAUAAACUUUUUUGACUCUUUUUUGAAUUUAGGUGGGAUUUACUUGGAACUUAGUGCCCGCUUGGUUCAUCGUUUUGAGCCUAAAACCUGCAAUUUCAAAACACAACAAAUGCAUUUUAUCAAAACAUGAAUAUUAGUAUAUUACCGUUGUAAAAUACACUUUUCCUUAAAUUGCACUAAAGUCUUUACCUUUCAUUCUAAAGGCAAACACACAACUGAUCAGCCCCAUAUCUCACAAUUUCACAUGCUCCUCUCUGUAGGAGCUCCUCUGUAUUGUUGCUCCUUUGGUUCCUUUCCUUUUAUUUCAUCACAAUCCUUCAUCAAAUUAAGGGAUUUCCUCGAUGCUGCUGCUGUGUUCGUUUCCCCUUCUUCUUCUUCUUCUUUUUUUUUUUUUUUUUUGGAUUUGUCUUUAUAUAUCUGAAGCAGAACAGAGGACGAUGAGAGAGUGAGAGAGGAACGGGGAUGGAGAUCUGUUAGAUCUAUAAAGUAAAGAAGAAAUAACGCAAGAGAAAAAUUGAAGAGGAAAGAGCGAAAAAGGUUGGAGAAGGAGAAGAUAUAUUUACGUCCCAAAAAGUUAUAGAAUAAUUUGUGAUUUUAGAACUAUUUUUGAAGAAAAUGUUAGAUCACAAAAAAUUGCACAAUUUUUACAACUCUAAUUAGGGAAUUACGAGUGGUGGAAGUGUAGUCUUGUUGGACCCUCCACUUUUUUUCCAUUACUCAUAAUUUGUCACAUGAUGAGUUGUGAAAAAGUUGUGUAACUUUAUGCUGUACUAGCAUUUAAAAAGAAAAACAAAACUUUGUUGAUAGACUUGAUGAAGUGAUAAUUACAAAAAAAGACUUUAAAAUUUGGAAAUUUUUUACUUUUUUUUCUAUACAAAAUAGAAAUUUUAUUAAGCGUCUAAAAAAAAUAGAAAUUCUAUUCUAUCUUAAUUUAAGUGUAUAUAUAUGUAAAGUUUUCAAUUGUAAACACCUUUCAACCCGUUAAUGUAAACUCCCAUUUAUUGAGAUUCUCUAAAGUACUUUAUCAUAUAUAAUUUCCUAAAUCCUGACCUUCGUAUUUAAAGGUCCAAAUUAUACCAACAAGAAUUACACUAAUAAACCCAUUAAAAAAAAAAAAAAACUCUCACGUUGACUUUGUCGUUUCCAUAGAGAAGAUGACCUCUUGAAAGAAAAUAGAGAACUCAAUGAGUUCUUUCUUUCGAGCCAUCACACCUGUGCCUCCACCUCUCCCUCUGGCCUCCACUCCUUAACUCCACGCAAAGAGAAACUGAGUGUGUUGCUUUCUAGUAACCAAGAGCUUGCUAUCUUAUUACAUAAUUACCUCUAAAAUUGGGCUAAUUUUGGUCUUAGUUUAUCAUUAUGUUACUAGAUCUGAACUUUUCCCUUUUGAGAAGAAAAAAAACCACCUCACCCAGGCCGCAUCAUCUAUUUCCUGCCACCUCACCACCUUAACUCUUAUUCGUUUUCUUCUUAAAAUUCUGCUGCAGUACCAAAUCAUUCUUUCUCUUUUACACGGUUAGUGAAAGAUCCUAAAUCUGAAGCCAAAUUGAUCUCUAUGGUGAUGCAAAGGUUUGAAAAGUGUUUUGGAUGAUUGAAGAGCGAUGGAGUAUUGGCCGGAGAGACUUUUGAUAUUUUCUCUCUCUAGAAACGUUAACAUUAAUGUCAAUGUUAACAAUUAAUUGGGUUUUCUUUUGUUUUUAAAAACUAUUAUUUUAAUGAGUUUGUUAGAGUAGCGUUGAUUUGGCAUAAUUUGGAUCCUUAAAUUAGGAAAAGGAAGGUUAGGAUUUAAGAAACUCUACGCGAUAAGAAUAUCUUAGGAACUCUAGAAGAUCUUGAUCCUACAUUUUGUGCUCCAUAAUGAUGAAAAAUUAAAUAAUUAAUUGCUAUUGAUAAGAAGUUAUUAAAAAUAAUAACCAAAACCAAAAAAAAUUAUUAUUAUUAUUAUUAAAAAGGUGAAAACAUAUGAAUGAAAGUGUAGUGGGCCUUUUUUUGGUUAAAGUGGGCUUGGCUGCCUCCUGCGGUAUUGGGUCCGAGUGUUCUAGGUAUGGAAGUUGAGACUAGUCCAAUUGCUACUCAACUUGGUUCGGCUUGUGCACAAACUAUGCCUAGUCUGCCAGGUAGGGGUGUCCAAGGACCCGCAUCAACCGACCCGCCUGCCCGAAACCGCCCGAACCGAAGGUCCACGGGCGGCUCCGAAUCCACUCCACUGGUCGGUCACGGAUUGACAUUUAAAAAAUCUGAAUAGUUUGGAUCGGACCUGGGUUUCAAAAUAUUUCACCCGGAAAAUCCGAACCGACCGAAUUAUUUAUAAUAAUAAAAAAAAAAAAGUAGAUUUGACAUGUGGCUAGAUAGCCCAUCCCAGCAAAUCAGCAAUGCCAGCCCCAGAUUUUCCUCACACGUUCCCAACAUAAAUAUCAGCCGUUCAUCUCAAAUUAAAAUUUAAAAUGAAGGGUGUUGAUGAGAGUAAAACUGACUCAACUGGGCAUGAAAUGACCGGUUAUAGUGGCACAAUAACCCAUUUUUAAUCAACGGUUAGAAUACAAGAUGGAGAGCCAAUCUAACGGUGAGAAAUAAAGGGGAAAGAUCUGAUAUCUCAAAGACUCAAACGGAUUCAAGCCACUACUCUUCAGUCUUCACUCUUCUUCAGUUUUCACUUCAGAGCUAGAGGUCAGGUCAUGGACAUGGCUUCCCAUUCACGCCUUCUCCUUCCCUUUUCACUCUUCCUCACCUCUUCAGUCUUCACUUCUUCAGUCUCACACUCUCAGUUCUUUACCUACUCUCUCAAACUCUCUUAAACUCUCACAAUCUCACACUCUAUAAAGUCAAAACCGUAUCCCCAAAUCCAAACUACUGCUUCUCCAAAUCCAAAUUCUAAAGAACAAACCCUAGCCGCCUCCAAUGCCGUUACCCAGUCCCCUCUCUGCCUCCAACGCCUAGCGCCACCGCUGCUGUCCACUCCUCUCUCCAUAGCUACCGCCGGAGUCCUCACCCCGUGUACUCUUCACGGAGUCAAUAAGGAUUGAAAGCUGACUCCAGUCUCCAAGUAUCAUUAUUUGCUCUGAAGUUUGAAACCCAUACACCCACGAUUUUCUUCAAGGAUUGAAAGUUGAAUCCAAGUAUCAUUAUCUGCCCUCAAGUUUGAAACCCAUACACCCACGGUUUUCUUCAAGGUCAUGGAAACCAACACUAAUGAACCCUCUGUCCAAACACCAGCUGCUACAGAAGAUGAUGGUGCUAUUCCCACCCAAGUUGAAGAUUCUGCUGCUACCCAAGCUGAAGCAGCUGCUGCUUCUGAGUUGCCCCCAGUUCCACCAUGCCAAGUGAGUAUGAUAGCUCCUGUUAGUGGUGGUUGUAGUGGUAGGAAAAAGUCUUUUGUUUGGGGUCACUUUGAAAAAGUAAAGAUAGGUGAGGGUGAUACUAGUAAAACUAAGGCUAUCUGUAAUUAUUGUCAAAAAUCUUAUAAUGCUGAUAGUAAGAGUUGUGGUACUAGUAAUUUGUUAGCUCAUGUGCCAAUAUGUCCCAAGAACCCUAAUAGAGAAGAUGUAGUUAGAGGGUAGAAAACAUUAGCUUUUGUACCCAAAAAGGAUGGAGAAGACGGAUUCCACCUUGUGUCAACAUCCUUUUCUGUUGAGGCUUCUAGAAAGGCAUUGGCCGAAAUGGUUAUAAUUGAUGAGUUGCCUUUUAGGUAUGUCGAGGGGUAUGGGUUUAAGAAAUUUGUAAGUACCUUACAACCUAAUCUUAGAUUAAAGGAUAUCCCAUCUCGUCAAACUGUGACUAGGGAUGUAAUUGACAUUUAUAAUAAUGAGAGAGAGAAGUUAAGGAAAUCCUUGAAGGAUUGUAGGGUGUGUCUCACUACGGACACAUGGACUUCUAUUCAAAAUUUAAAUUAUAUGUGUCUGACUUGUCACUUUAUUGAUGAUGCUUGGAAAUUGCAUAAGAGAAUUCUAAAUUUUUGUCAAGUUGAAGACCACAAGGGGGAGACUAUAGGUAGAAAGAUUGAGAUGUCGUUGCGUGAGUGGGGUAUUGAUGGGAUAUUCACCUUGACGGUGGAUAAUGCUAGUUCAAAUUUAACAACAAUUAAAUUUUUGCAAAUGGUGACUAAAGAUUGGAAUGGGGUAGUUUUAGGAAAUGAGUACAUGCACAUAAGGUGUUGUGCCCAUAUCCUAAAUCUCAUUGUGGGGGAGGGUUUAAAAGAGAUAGAUGCAUCUGUUACUAAGGUGCGUGAAGCUGUGAGGUAUGUGAAGUCCUCACCCAAUAGAAGUCAAACUUUUAGGAGUUUUAUGGAGAGGUUAGGUAUGGAGUCCAAGAGUCUUCUUAGUCUAGAUGUACCUACUAGGUGGAACUCGACCUAUAUCAUGUUAGAAACUGCUGAAAAUUUUGAGAAAGUGUUCCUCCGAAUGGAUUUUGAAGAUGAUGGUUAUUCAUCGUACUUUAGGACCAAGGAAGAUAGUGGUGGUUUGUGGUCUCUAUGUAUGACUGAUUUCCAAAAUUGUAGGGCAUUUGUGACUUUCUUAAGGCUGUUUUAUAAUGCAACAAAGAAAUUUUCUGGUUCAUUGUAUGUUACUUCAAAUGCCUUCUAUGAUGAGAUCUUUGUUAUUCAGGAGAGUAUUUCCAAUUUAGUUAAAUCCCAAAACACUCUCUUGAAAAGCACAGCCACAAACAUGCAAACUAAGUUUGAGAAGUAUUGGGGGGAAGGGGAGAAAAUUGAUCCUCUUUUGUAUAUGGCUAUGGUCUUUGAUCCACGAAAAAAAUUAAGGUUUUUGAAGUUUUCAUUUUCUGAAAUUUAUGGGAAUGCAGUUGCAGAAGUGAUGGUUGAUAAGGUGAAAGACCUUUUAUUAAGUUGUAUAAUUUUUACACUUCUAUUCAUUCACCAAAUGUGCAAGAUCAAAGUGGGAGUGAGAGGACAGAAUUAGAAACUGAUGCUAGUGAUCCAUAUGUGAUGGUUCACUCGCGAUAUGAACAUUUUUUGCAAGUUGAGCAAUCUGUAGGUUGUAGUAAUGAGCUUGAGAGGUAUUUGGCUGAAAACUGUGAUGGUAGAAAGGAUGCAAAUUUUGAGAUAUUGGAGUGGUGGAGGGACAAUUGUAAUAGGUACCAAGUGUUGUCUAAAGUAGUUAAUGAUGUGCUGGCUGUGCCAGUUUCCACUGUUGCAUCUGAGUCAGCAUUUAGCACUGGAGGUCGAAUUGUUGAUCCAUUUUGAAGUGCACUAUCUCCUCUCAUGGUUCAAAACCUUGUAUGUUCACAAAAUUGGCUUCAAGCCACAGUUCCAAUUUCUCAUCGCCAGUCAAGGGAUGAUGUUGAGGCAUUGGAGGAGGAGUUACUUGACUUAGUUUUAAAUCAACAACCAACAGCAAAUACCAGCUCAAGCAAGGGUUCCACUUCAGGCAAACGACCCUUGAUUAGCAUUGAUGAUUAAUCACUGACUUGGAGGAUGGUAAAUUAUUUUGUAAAGAAGGCAGCAUUUUGGGAAUAUUUUGGAAGCUUUUUUGGACAUAUUGCUUUUCUAACUUGUAACAAUACUCAACUGUCAAUACUUAUAGAAAAGAAAUCUUAGUUCAUAGGUUUUCUUUUCUAUUAGUUAUAGACUUAUAAACUAUAGAGUAGUCAUUCAAUGCUUUGGAAAAGCUAUUUUUUGGAAAUACCUAUGGUAUUUGAUUAUUGUAAUUGAUUAUAUAGCUUGGAACAUUGUAUAACUAGCAAGUUUUCUGCCUUA
Molecule: RNA transcript, 10349 nt
Organism: Quercus robur (English oak)
Lineage: Eukaryota; Viridiplantae; Streptophyta; Magnoliopsida; Fagales; Fagaceae
Gene name: F-box protein At2g26160-like
Exons: 9
Source: RefSeq, a predicted model, not a curated record